UUGGCACCUCGAUGUCGGCUCAUCACAUCCUGGGGCUGUAGCCGGUCCCAAGGGUAUGGCUGUUCGCCAUUUAAAGUGGUACGCGAGCUGGGUUCAGAACGUCGUGAGACAGUUCGGUCCCUAUCUGUCGUGGGCGUUGGAGAUUUGAGAGGGGCUGCUCCUAGUACGAGAGGACCGGAGUGGACGAUCCCCUGGUGUUCCGGUUGUCACGCCAGUGGCACUGCCGGGUAGCUACGAUCGGAAGCGAUAACCGCUGAAAGCAUCUAAGCGGGAAGCGCGCCUCAAGAUGAGAUCUCCCGGGGCAUAAGCUCCCUGAAGGAACCAUGAAGACUACGUGGUUGAUAGGUCGGGUGUGUAUAGCAGUAAUGCCGAGCUAACCGAUACUAAUGAUCCGUGCGGCUUGACCAU
Molecule: ribosomal RNA, 408 nt
Filed under: Lysobacterales bacterium
Lineage: Bacteria; Pseudomonadati; Pseudomonadota; Gammaproteobacteria; Lysobacterales
Description: partial 23S ribosomal RNA
Rfam family: Bacterial large subunit ribosomal RNA
Source: RNAcentral